AGUUUGAAUCCUGGCUCAGGAUGAACGCUAGCGGCAGGCCUAAUACAUGCAAGUCGAACGGUCUCUAGCAAUAGAGAUAGUGGCGCACGGGUGCGUAACGCGUAACCAACCUACCUGAAUCUGGGGGAUAGCCCGCCGAAAGGCGGAUUAAUACCGCAUAAAACCACAGCCUGGCAUCAGGCAAUGGUUAAAGAUUUAUUGGAUUCAGAUGGGGUUGCGUGCCAUUAGCUAGUUGGGGAGGUAACGGCUCACCAAGGCGACGAUGGCUAGGGGAGCUGAGAGGCUGGUCCCCCACACGGGCACUGAGAUACGGGCCCGACUCCUACGGGAGGCAGCAGUAGGGAAUAUUGGGCAAUGGACGAGAGUCUGACCCAGCCAUGCCGCGUGCAGGAUGAAGGCUUUCUGAGUCGUAAACUGCUUUUAUCAGGGAAGAAAAAAGGGGAUG
RNAcentral lists this ribosomal RNA (445 nucleotides) under Hymenobacter sp. R-41474. Its description in RNAcentral is "bacterial SSU rRNA". It matches the Rfam family "Bacterial small subunit ribosomal RNA", at positions 10 to 460 of the family's 1533-position model. The record is from RNAcentral. Lineage: Bacteria; Pseudomonadati; Bacteroidota; Cytophagia; Cytophagales; Hymenobacteraceae.